This 435-nucleotide long non-coding RNA is filed under the name Calidris pugnax (ruff). Its description in RNAcentral is "lncRNA (ENSCPUG00000018863.1)". Lineage: Eukaryota; Metazoa; Chordata; Aves; Charadriiformes; Scolopacidae. The record is from RNAcentral.
GUUGCUGGGACGGGAUCGUCUCUGCUCCUGGCCUUGGAAAAUGGAACAAGAAAUGAAAGCAGACAGUGACCCGGACCCAGAGCAGGGAUGUCCCCUGAUGCCAUCCGCACCCCCAGGACAGCUGGAUGACAGCGGGCAGAUGGUCCAGGGCAGAGGUGCAAAGCCCCUGCCACAACCACCCGUGGAAGGGGGUCUGCUCCCAUUGCCCCCCAGCGCGUCCCCGGUGUCGGAGGCGGUGGCCCGACGAGCCCUCCUGCGCUUCGUGUCCUCCCGGGGCUGCUGUGGGCCCGGUGCGGGCGAGGAGCCGGCCAUCCGGCGGCUGCGGCAGCGGGGGACGUACCGGGUGAGUGCCUGCAGCUCCAACACAGGGACACCCAGCCACAGAGAGCCAGCCAGUUGUUAAAUUAAAUGGCUUUCAUCCUGCUUUAAGGGCAG